RNAcentral lists this ribosomal RNA (936 nucleotides) under Cyclosa laticauda. Its description in RNAcentral is "SSU rRNA". It matches the Rfam family "Eukaryotic small subunit ribosomal RNA", at positions 32 to 964 of the family's 1831-position model. Lineage: Eukaryota; Metazoa; Arthropoda; Arachnida; Araneae; Araneidae. The record is from RNAcentral.
UGGNNNANNNGAAUUUGCCAGANGUGUCUAGUCAUGCCGUAUUAAGGCGAAACCGCGAAUGGCUCAUUAAAUCAGUUAUGGUUCCUUGGAUCGUACCUUACUACUUGGAUAACUGUGGCAAUUCUAGAGCUAAUACAUGCAGCAAAGCUCCGACCUUCGGGAACGAGCGCUUUUAUUAGACCAAAACCAAUCGGGCCUCGUGUCCGUUCUUUGUGGUGACUCUGUAUAACUUUGGGCUGAUCGCACGGGCUCGUCCCGGCGACGUAUCUUUCAAGUGUCUGCCUUAUCAACUGUCGAUGGUAGGUUACGCGCCUACCAUGGUCGUAACGGGUGACGGGGAAUCAGGGUUCGAUUCCGGAGAGGGAGCCUGAGAAACGGCUACCACAUCCAAGGAAGGCAGCAGGCGCGCAAAUUACCCACUCCCAGAACGGGGAGGUAGUGACGAAAAAUAACAAUACGGGACUCUUUUGAGACCCCGUAAUUGGAAUGAGUACACUCUAAAUCCUUUAACGAGGAUCCAUUGGAGAGCAAGUCUGGUGCCAGCAGUCGCGGUAAUUCCAGCUCCAAUAGCGUAUAUUAAAGUUGUUGCGGUUAAAAAGCUCGUAGUUGGAUCUCAGCUCCGGCCGGACGGUCCGCCUACCGGUGGUUACUGUUCGCUGCCGAGCGUUCAGGCGGUUAUUCUUGAUGAUCUUCACCGGUUGUCUCGGGUGACCGCCAAGUUUACUUUGAAAAAAUUAGAGUGCUCAAAGCAGACGCGACGUCUGAAUAAUUGUGCAUGGGAAUAAUGGAAUAGGACCUCGGUUCUAUUUUGUUGGUUUUCGGAACACGAGGUAAUGAUUAAGAGGGACAGACGGGGGCAUUCGUAUUGCGACGCUAGAGGUGAAAUUCUUGGACCGUCGCAAGGACGAACUUACUGCGAANCNUUUUUGCCAAGAA